AACGAACGCUGGCGGCAGGCCUAAAAACAUGCAAGUCGAACGGGUGUAGUAAUACAUCAGUGGCGCACGGGUGAGUAACGCGUGGGAACGUGCCCUUCAGUACGGGACAACGUCGGGAAACUGACGCUAAUACCGUAUAAUAUCUCCGGAUCAAAGAUUUAUCGCUGAAGGAUCGGCCCGCGUCUGAUUAGUUUGUUGGUGAGGUAACGGCUCACCAAGACUACGAUCAGUAGCUGGUCUGAGAGGAUGAUCAGCCACACUGGGACUGAGACACGGCCCAGACUCCUACGGGAGGCAGCAGUUAGGAACAUUGGACAAUGGGGGAAACCCUGAUCCAGCCAUGCCGCGUGUGUGAUGAAGGCCUUAGGGUUGUAAAGCACUUUCGUUGGGGAUGAUAAUGACCGUACCCAAAGAAGAAGCACCGGCUAACUUCGUG
Molecule: ribosomal RNA, 436 nt
Filed under: uncultured bacterium
Lineage: Bacteria
Description: bacterial SSU rRNA
Rfam family: Bacterial small subunit ribosomal RNA
Source: RNAcentral